AUGCACGCUGGCGGCGUGCCUAAUACCUGCCAGUCGAGCGAACGGACGAGAAGCUUGCUUUUCUGAUGUUAGCGGCGGACGGGUGAGUAACACGUGGAUAACCUACCUAUAAGACUGGGAUAACUUCGGGAAACCGGAGCUAAUACCGGAUAAUAUUUUGAACCGCAUGGUUCAAAAGUGAAAGACGGUCUUGCUGUCACUUAUAGAUGGAUCCGCGCUGCAUUAGCUAGUUGGUAAGGUAACGGCUUACCGAGGCAACGAUGCAUAGCCGACCUGAGAGGGUGAUCGGCCACACUGGAACUGAGACACGGUCCAGACUCCUACGGGAGGCAGCAGUAGGGAAUCUUCCGCAAUGGGCGAAAGCCUGACGGAGCAACGCCGCGUGAGUGAUGAAGGUCUUCGGAUCGUAAAACUCUGUUAUUAGGGAAGAACAUAUGUGUAAGUAACUGUGCACAUCUUGACGGUACCUAAUCAGAAAGCCACGGCUAACUACGUG
This 496-nucleotide ribosomal RNA is filed under the name uncultured bacterium. Its description in RNAcentral is "partial 16S ribosomal RNA". It matches the Rfam family "Bacterial small subunit ribosomal RNA", at positions 29 to 507 of the family's 1533-position model. The record is from RNAcentral.